This 1438-nucleotide long non-coding RNA is filed under the name Sus scrofa (pig). RNAcentral's name for it is "lncRNA (ENSSSCG00015006318.1)". Lineage: Eukaryota; Metazoa; Chordata; Mammalia; Artiodactyla; Suidae. The record is from RNAcentral.
UUUAGAGAAAGUGGGCGGUGCCUUUGCAGACUUUGAAAUUCCCAUUGGCUCCUGGGGAUUGGUAGACUGCUGCCCACUGUUCACCUGCCCAACGGCUGCCCGCGGACGCCUUCCUAUCACUGCUGUCAUGUGUGGAAGCACAAGCACUGUGGCAGGAAGGCUUUAGAGGAAAACACAGAAUGGUCUCCUAGAUGCCAAAGACACACAUUUGCCGCGGGGCUGAUAUCAGACGUGCCAUUUGAGAGAACGGGGUGUUCUGAGUCUCUUCUUCUUCCUGCAUCAGAUGAAGAAGCAGCGUCAUCUCGGAGGAUGCGAAACGACGCCCUUUCCCUGUUUUCCAGGAAUAUGGGGCCUUCCAGGGAAUUAAGAAGGAUCCAAUCAGAGGAGGUUUGGUGGUUUUCAAAUAAGAGGCGGUGCCGACAGACCCUUGGCACGUAGGCCGUUCCUGGACGGGAGAGGAAAGGCCGCGGGGCGCUGCAGCCCUGGACAUUCUCCUGCACCCCCGGACGCUGUGGCCGCUGCCACUACUAAGCAGAGGGACUCCGGGAGGGUGGCGAUGCACCCGGUGGGGUCUCCUCUCCCACGACCUGGGCAGGUCGGUCCUAGGAUGAAGCGCUGACUUUGAACAAAGACAUCUGGCGUCUGUAGAGACCACGCGAGAGGGAAGAACCACACCCCUUUGGAAGCGUGUGAGCCCUGGGGUUGGCGUUGAGACCUUCCAGUGGGGGUCCCCGGGGAGAGCUAAUGAGUCACAUGGGUGUUAUUGCCAAUAUUCUUAAAGGGGAGCUCAGAGCUGGGCUCUGAGACUAGCCCGGCUGUUAGAAUCCCGUAUCCCUGUUAUCAGAAUAACAGGGGUAAGUCACAUGCUGCGGCCCUGCUGGCUGUGGUCGUGGAUGUGGGUUCAGCUCUCCAGGUUCCCCAGAGUGUGGACUGUUGCUCUGAACACCCCAUGCAGCUGAAAGCCGGCCUCUGUACACCGGCACCGAUUCAGUCUCGGAGACAGAGUUUGGGGUGAAGCAGAAAGAACGGCUUUAGUGCUUUGCCAGGCAAAGGAGGCCACAACAGACUAACGCCUCAAACCUGUGUCCUCCCUUGAGAGGGGACAGCAAGGGAUCUUAGAGGUUUCGCUUGAAAACCAGGGCUGUGGAUAAGGGUCAGGGAGCCUGCAUUCUUCUCCCUCCAGAGAUGAUUUCAAAGUUGUCAAGGCUGCAGUCGGAUGGUCCGGUGACAGUUUCUGGCGUCGUUGGGGUUAUGGCAUCUUGACCUUCUCUCUGCAGUGAAGACUGCUUAUGAAAGGAAGGGGGCGUUAGGGAAUAUUUCAAAGGAGAAAAGCUACCAGAUUGCAAAGAAAAGAAGGAACAUCUGUGAAAGGGGAAUCGAGCAAGGGAGUAAAAUCAUUUAGGCGAAGCGGGUUGGCGUGAGUAAAGCUGAGCCCCGC